Molecule: ribosomal RNA, 301 nt
Filed under: uncultured Halogeometricum sp.
Lineage: Archaea; Methanobacteriati; Methanobacteriota; Halobacteria; Halobacteriales; Haloferacaceae
Description: bacterial SSU rRNA
Rfam family: Bacterial small subunit ribosomal RNA (bases 52-301)
Source: RNAcentral
ACGGACUCGAGGAGAGGAGCGGAUGGAAGACGUAGGGGGGAUGCGUGGGUCGGAUGCAGUGGGCGUAAUGGGCGUGUAGGCGGUCGUGCAAGUCGGAGGUGAAAUCCCGCGGCUAAACUGAUGAAUUGCCUUCGAUACUGUUCGGCUUGAGUCCUGGAGAGGGUAGCGGAAUGCCCGGUGUAGCGGUGAAAUGCGUAGAGACCGGGAAGAACACCAGUGGCGAAGGCGGCUACCUGGACAGGUACUGACGCUAACAGCGCGAAAGCUAGGGGAGCAAACAGGAUUAGAUACCCCGGUAGUC